RNAcentral lists this ribosomal RNA (531 nucleotides) under Naganishia diffluens. RNAcentral describes it as "LSU rRNA". It matches the Rfam family "Eukaryotic large subunit ribosomal RNA", at positions 73 to 609 of the family's 3401-position model. The record is from RNAcentral. Lineage: Eukaryota; Fungi; Basidiomycota; Tremellomycetes; Filobasidiales; Filobasidiaceae.
CAUUCCCUAGUACGGCGAGUGAAGCGGGAAGAGCUCAAAUUUGAAAUCUAGUAGCCUUCGGCUGCUCGAGUUGUAAUCUAGAGAAGUGUUUUCCGUGCCGGCCCAUGUACAAGUCCCUUGGAACAGGGCGUCAUAGAGGGUGAGAAUCCCGUCCUUGACAUGGACCCCCGGUGCUCUGUGAUACACUUUCAACGAGUCGAGUUGUUUGGGAAUGCAGCUCAAAAUGGGUGGUGAAUUCCAUCUAAAGCUAAAUAUUGGCGAGAGACCGAUAGCGAACAAGUACCGUGAGGGAAAGAUGAAAAGCACUUUGGAAAGAGAGUUAAACAGUACGUGAAAUUGUUGAAAGGGAAACGAUUGAAGUCAGUCAUGCUCUUUGGUAUUUAUAUCAUUGAGUGGGGUCAACAUCAGUUUUGAGCGAUGGAUAAAGGCACUAGGAAGGUAGCACUCUCGGGUGAACUUAUAGCCUAGCGUCAUAUACAUUGUUUGGGACUGAGGAACGCAGCAUGCCUUUAUGGCCGGGACUCGUCCACG